This 480-nucleotide long non-coding RNA is filed under the name Rattus norvegicus (Norway rat). RNAcentral's name for it is "long non-coding RNA NONRATT011197". Lineage: Eukaryota; Metazoa; Chordata; Mammalia; Rodentia; Muridae. The record is from RNAcentral.
CAGAUCGUGAGGCAUGACCUGACAGAACUUCGAGACUUUGAUCUGGAUGGAGCUCCUUACGGAUAUACUCCGUUCUGUGAUAGCCGCACUGAAAUGGAUGGAUACCGUUUCUGGAAGACGGGAUACUGGGCAUCACAUCUCGUAAAAAGGAAAUACCAUAUCAGUUUUAGUGCAAUAAUCCCAAAACAAAAGAACCCAAACUAGAAGCUGCCGCAAGGAUUGUCCCAGAAUGGGUAGAGUAUGAUACCGAGAUCCGGAAACUAUUAGAUCAUCUUGAAAAUAAGAAGAAAAGUACAAUUCAUGAUGAACUCUAGCACAGACGAUGAGAACGAUGGAAAUCUGCCACCUGCUGGAAAUUUGUGGAACUGCUAAGACUAGUAGGCCAUUCGUUCCAAUUAUUGACAUAAGGUUGGCUGGUUUUUUAUAAGCUUUAUUUAAAACACAUGUAAAGUUUUAAAAUAAACUUAAUUUAUGUGAUUG